GAUGAACGCUGGCGGCGUGCCUAAUACAUGCAAGUCGAGCGAACGGACGAGAAGCUUGCUUCUCUGAUGUUAGCGGCGGACGGGUGAGUAACACGUGGAUAACCUACCUAUAAGACUGGGAUAACUUCGGGAAACCGGAGCUAAUACCGGAUAAUAUUUUGAACCGCAUGGUUCAAAAGUGAAAGACGGUCUUGCUGUCACUUAUAGAUGGAUCCGCGCUUCAUUAGCUAGUUGGUAAGGUAACGGCUUACCAAGGCAACGAUGCAUAGCCGACCUGGGAGGGUGAUAGGACACACUGGAACUGGGACACGGUCCAGACUCCUACGGGAGGCAGCAGUAGGGAAUCUUCCCCAAUGGGCGAAAGCCUGACGGAGCAACGCCGCGUGAGUGAUGAAGGUCUUCGGAUCGUAAAACUCUGUUAUUAGGGAAGAACAUAUGUGUAAGUAACUGUGCACAUCUUGACGGUACCUAAUCAGAAAGCCACGGCUAACUACGUG
RNAcentral lists this ribosomal RNA (497 nucleotides) under uncultured bacterium. Its description in RNAcentral is "partial 16S ribosomal RNA". It matches the Rfam family "Bacterial small subunit ribosomal RNA", at positions 28 to 507 of the family's 1533-position model. The record is from RNAcentral.